Molecule: ribosomal RNA, 484 nt
Filed under: uncultured bacterium
Lineage: Bacteria
Description: bacterial SSU rRNA
Rfam family: Bacterial small subunit ribosomal RNA
Source: RNAcentral
AUUGAACGCUGGCGGCAGGCCUAACNCAUGCAAGUCGAGCGGAUGAGUGGAGCUUGCUCCAUGAUUCAGCGGCGGACGGGUGAGUAAUGCCUAGGAAUCUGCCUGGUAGUGGGGGACAACGUUUCGAAAGGAACGCUAAUACCGCAUACGUCCUACGGGAGAAAGCAGGGGACCUUCGGGCCUUGCGCUAUCAGAUGAGCCUAGGUCGGAUUAGCUAGUAGGUGAGGUAAUGGCUCACCUAGGCGACGAUCCGUAACUGGUCUGAGAGGAUGAUCAGUCACACUGGAACUGAGACACGGUCCAGACUCCUACGGGAGGCAGCAGUGGGGAAUAUUGGACAAUGGGCGAAAGCCUGAUCCAGCCAUGCCGCGUGUGUGAAGAAGGUCUUCGGAUUGUAAAGCACUUUAAGUUGGGAGGAAGGGCAGUAAGUUAAUACCUUGCUGUUUUGACGUUACCAACAGAAUAAGCACCGGCUAACUUCGUG